Molecule: ribosomal RNA, 109 nt
Filed under: Bacteroidetes bacterium RBG_13_43_22
Lineage: Bacteria; Pseudomonadati; Bacteroidota
Source: RNAcentral
UAAGGUGACUAUAGCGGCAGGGCUCCACCUCUUCCCAUUCCGAACAGAGAAGUUAAACCUGUCAGCGCCGAUGGUACUGCAAACGCGGGAGAGUAGGUAGUCGCCUACC